Molecule: long non-coding RNA, 374 nt
Organism: Neltuma alba
Lineage: Eukaryota; Viridiplantae; Streptophyta; Magnoliopsida; Fabales; Fabaceae
Exons: 2
Source: RefSeq, a predicted model, not a curated record
UUAUCAAUAAGUUUAUUGAUAACAUAGUUUAUCAAUAAUAACUUUGAUAAUUGUACUCAAAUUUUAAAGCGUUUGAUUAUGUCUUUUAAACCUAAAUUUGCUUUUGGACAGGCACUAAAAGGGUUGGAAGGAAGUAUGUUUCACCUCCUGCUCAUCUUCCUCAUCAAUCACUCAUCAUGAUUGGCCGCUUUCUCAUUGCCUAUCGCCUUCACUCUUCUAGCAUUGUUAGGAUGUCCUAGUUUGUUCUAGUCUUGUCCUUGUGUCAAUUAAGACUAGGAAACUUUCGAGAUGGGAUGGGAUACAAGACGAAAAUUCCAUUUUAUGAGAGUUUUCAAGAUGAGACAUUGGAUUGGCAGUAUGCCAGUCCUAUCCUC